UAAACUUAAAAAAAAAAAACAUGCUUUGAAUGAUACAUGCAAAUGGUGACCAAAUGAGGACACUUGAUUUCGUGACAAAAAAUUCGAUGUCUGCACCAACAAAAAUUGCAUUAUCAGUUAUUUUUACUCUCCUCUUGCAGUGCCAUUUGAACUGCUUUUCCUCCAUAGCUGUCUGGCAAAAGAAUAAAUGUAUCGAUCCUCGUUGAGGACAGAUAACAGUUACUCCCCAUGCAUCCUGCACCUGCAAAUUCCUCGAACAGAGCAAAACAUCAUUUCCCUCACUUGCGUGUUGUAUGCUGUGCAGGAUGAAAAAUCAGGUUGCUAAGCAGGAAAAACUCUCCCCUUCCGUGUUCAGCCUAUUUAGAAGAUUCAGAUCAUCAAGCAUAUGACUAAGUUUAGAGUUUUAUUUCUACAAAACUAUAUUUUAGACCAAAAUAUCCAACACAGCGAGGUGGGGCCGCUGAAACUCAGAGAACGUGGGACCAGAAGACAGGCCUUUUCAUGACAAGUCCAGAGAUCUCGCCACCAUUC
This is a long non-coding RNA of Prionailurus viverrinus (fishing cat), 531 nucleotides long. RefSeq lists it as uncharacterized. The record is from RefSeq and is a predicted model, not a curated record. NCBI's taxonomy places the organism in Eukaryota, Metazoa, Chordata, Mammalia, Carnivora, Felidae. The transcript is spliced from 3 exons.